This 553-nucleotide ribosomal RNA is filed under the name uncultured bacterium. RNAcentral describes it as "partial 16S ribosomal RNA". It matches the Rfam family "Bacterial small subunit ribosomal RNA", at positions 356 to 900 of the family's 1533-position model. The record is from RNAcentral.
GGGGAAUAUUGGACAAUGGGGGGAACCCUGAUCCAGCCAUGCCGCGUGUGUGAAGAAGGCCUUAUGGUUGUAAAGCACUUUAAGCGAGGAGGAGGCUCUUUUGGUUAAUACCCAAGAUGAGUGGACGUUACUCGCAGAAUAAGCACCGGCUAACUCUGUGCCAGCAGCCGCGGUAAUACAGAGGGUGCGAGCGUUAAUCGGAUUUACUGGGCGUAAAGCGUGCGUAGGCGGCUUUUUAAGUCGGAUGUGAAAUCCCCGAGCUUAACUUGGGAAUUGCAUUCGAUACUGGGAAGCUAGAGUAUGGGAGAGGAUGGUAGAAUUCCAGGUGUAGCGGUGAAAUGCGUAGAGAUCUGGAGGAAUACCGAUGGCGAAGGCAGCCAUCUGGCCUAAUACUGACGCUGAGGUACGAAAGCAUGGGGAGCAAACAGGAUUAGAUACCCUGGUAGUCCAUGCCGUAAACGAUGUCUACUAGCCGUUGGGGUCUUUGAGACUUUAGUGGCGCAGCUAACGCGAUAAGUAGACCGCCUGGGGAGUACGGUCGCAAGACUAAAAC